AUGUACUCCUCCAGUGGUGGCAUGCCCCAUGGGCGACUAGCAAUAGGUGAUGGUGCUAUAAAGAAAGCAGUGGUCGUUGCAAAAGCUAGAGAGAAUGACACAAGGCCAUCAAACUCCAUAUCAUACCAGUGUUUAUUGAAGGAAAAUGCUCAACUUAAAAGGCGGUGCAAGAAUAAUUUUGUUCUGAGCAAACAUGUACAGGGGUUUUAUGGCAAGCUGGGAUGGGAAGUACCCGAAGAUCUUCUUGCCUACCAAGAUGAGCUGAUGGAUGGUGGUGAUCUGAUGAAUGAAACACCCCAAGCCCAAGAGGAUGGUGGUACUCCAAUGACAGAUUCUUCACAUGAUGAAAGGCAUGUUGAUGCUGGUACUCAAAUGGAUGAUCAUGGUUCUGCUCCAACACAUGAAAAUCAUUUAGGAAUGCCAUAG
RNAcentral lists this ribosomal RNA (426 nucleotides) under Triticum aestivum (bread wheat). Its description in RNAcentral is "partial small subunit ribosomal RNA". The record is from RNAcentral. Lineage: Eukaryota; Viridiplantae; Streptophyta; Magnoliopsida; Poales; Poaceae.